GACGAACGCUGGCGGCGUGCCUAAUACAUGCAAGUUGAGCGAUGAAGAUUGGUGCUUGCCCCAAUUUGAAGAGCAGCGAACGGGUGAGUAACGCGUGGGGAAUCUGCCUUUGAGCGGGGGACAACAUUUGGAAACGAAUGCUAAUACCGCAUAACAACUUUAAACAUAAGUUUUAAGUUUGAAAGAUGCAAUUGCAUCACUCAAAGAUGAUCCCGCGUUGUAUUAGCUAGUUGGUGAGGUAAAGGCUCACCAAGGCGAUGAUACAUAGCCGACCUGAGAGGGUAAUCGGCCACAUUGGGACUGAGACACGGCCCAAACUCCUACGGGAGGCAGCAGUAGGGAAUCUUCGGCAAUGGACGAAAGUCUGACCGAGCAACGCCGCGUGAGUGAAGAAGGUUUUCGGAUCGUAAAACUCUGUUGGUAGAGAAGAACGUUGGUGAGAGUGGAAAGCUCAUCAAGUGACGGUAACUACCCAGAAAGGGACGGCUAACUACGUG
This 497-nucleotide ribosomal RNA is filed under the name uncultured bacterium. RNAcentral describes it as "partial 16S ribosomal RNA". It matches the Rfam family "Bacterial small subunit ribosomal RNA", at positions 28 to 507 of the family's 1533-position model. The record is from RNAcentral.